Molecule: ribosomal RNA, 332 nt
Filed under: uncultured bacterium
Lineage: Bacteria
Description: bacterial SSU rRNA
Rfam family: Bacterial small subunit ribosomal RNA
Source: RNAcentral
GACUAACGCUGGCGGCAUGCAUCAUACAUGCAAGUCGAACGGAAGUAGGGUAGCAAUAUCCUGCUUUAGUGGCGGACGGGUGAGUAACACGUAGGUAACCUACCCUCGUGAUCGGGAUAACCUGCCGAAAGGCGGGCUAAUACCGAAUGUGACCACAGCCUCGCAUGGGGCAGGGGUAAAGGCUGGCUCGCAAGAGCUACCGCACAAGGAUGGGCCUGCGCACAUCAGCUAGUUGGUGGGUAACGCCUACCAAGGCUAUGACGGUUAGCCGGCUUGAGAGAGUGAACGGCCACACUGGAACUGAGACACGGGUCCAGACUCCUACGGGAGGC